UCCUUCCUUCCUUCCUCCAAUUUCUCUCUUACUCCUUCUGCCCUCUCUCUUUCAUAUGCCUUAGGUGCAUCCCACAUUCUGCGUUUUUUUGGGGAAAUCCUCGACAGGUGCAGGAAAAUUGUGUUAUUGUAACUAUUUACCGCUAUCUCUCUUUCACGGCUCUCCAUCAGUUGUGAACAUCUAUUGGUUUAUCCCAAGUCACUAAGCAUAUUUUUAUUAGGUACACCUGUUUUUCCUUAUACAGCUGUUUCUGGAGUAUAGGGUCGCAUACUCAUAAACCCAGUGUAACUCAGAACCGCAUCUCAUAUUCCAAUAAACCCAUCAUAACGUUGAAAAAUCAUGAAUCAAACCAUCAUAAGUCACGGUUUGUCCGUGGAUAUGGGUGUCAUCAAUUCCAUUGUAUACAGUAAUGCUGUACACCAUUAACAAUGGCAUACUGAUUGGGAGUGGAUAUUGAUAGCAUUAUAAAAGUCAGUUAUUAGAGGGAUACUUCUUUAACCUCACUGAAGA
This 510-nucleotide long non-coding RNA is filed under the name Homo sapiens (human). RNAcentral describes it as "HSALNT0072119". Lineage: Eukaryota; Metazoa; Chordata; Mammalia; Primates; Hominidae. The record is from RNAcentral.